GACGAACGCUGGCGGCGCGCCUAACACAUGCAAGUCGAACGAGCGAGAGAGAGCUUGCUUUCUCAAGCGAGUGGCGAACGGGUGAGUAACGCGUGAGGAACCUGCCUCAAAGAGGGGGACAACAGACCGAAAGGCCUGCUAAUACCGCAUGAUACAGUUGGGUCGCAUGACUCUGACUGUCAAAGAUUUAUCGCUCUGAGAUGGCCUCGCGUCUGAUUAGCUAGUUGGCGGGGUAACGGCCCACCAAGGCGACGAUCAGUAGCCGGACUGAGAGGUUGACCGGCCACAUUGGGACUGAGACACGGCCCAG
This 310-nucleotide ribosomal RNA is filed under the name uncultured bacterium. RNAcentral's name for it is "bacterial SSU rRNA". It matches the Rfam family "Bacterial small subunit ribosomal RNA", at positions 28 to 334 of the family's 1533-position model. The record is from RNAcentral.